AACGAACGCUGGCGGCAGGCCUAACACAUGCAAGUCGAGCGAGGACUUCGGUUCUAGCGGCGGACGGGUGAGUAACGCGUGGGAAUGUGCCCUUCUCUACGGAAUAGCCCUGGGAAACUGGGAGUAAUACCGUAUACGCCCUAUUGGGGAAAGAUUUAUCGGAGAAGGAUCAGCCCGCGUUGGAUUAGGUAGUUGGUGGGGUAAUGGCCUACCAAGCCGACGAUCCAUAGCUGGUUUGAGAGGAUGAUCAGCCACACUGGGACUGGGACACGGCCCAGACUCCUCCGGGAGGCAGCAGUGGGGAAUCUUAGACAAUGGGGGCAACCCUGAUCUAGCCAUGCCGCGUGAGUGAUGAAGGCCUUAGGGUUGUAAAGCUCUUUCAGCUGGGAAGAUAAUGACGGUACCAGCAGAAGAAGCCCCCGCUAACUCCGUG
This 433-nucleotide ribosomal RNA is filed under the name uncultured bacterium. Its description in RNAcentral is "partial 16S ribosomal RNA". It matches the Rfam family "Bacterial small subunit ribosomal RNA", at positions 29 to 507 of the family's 1533-position model. The record is from RNAcentral.